GACGAACGCUGGCGGCGUGCCUAACACAUGCAAGUCGAACGGGACCAGUCUUGGUGGCAACACUUUGGUUGGUUUAGUGGCGAACGGGUGAGUAACACGUGAGGAACCUGCCCCGGAGACCGGGAUAACAGGAGGAAACUUCUGCUAAUACUGGAUGUCCCCAUUGUGCCGCAUGGUGUGGUGGGGAAAUGGGUUUCCGCUUCGGGAGGGUCUCGCGGCCUAUCAGCUUGCUGGUGGGGUAAUGGCCUACCAAGGCGUCGACGGGUAGCUGGUCUGAGAGGGCGAUCAGCCACACUGGGACUGAGACACGGCCCAGACUCCUACGGGAGGCAGCAGUGGGGAAUCUUGCGCAAUGGGCGGAAGCCUGACGCAGCAACGCCGCGUGCGGGAUGAAGGCCUCGGUGUAACGCUUCUAGCAGGACGAAG
This 426-nucleotide ribosomal RNA is filed under the name uncultured bacterium. Its description in RNAcentral is "bacterial SSU rRNA". It matches the Rfam family "Bacterial small subunit ribosomal RNA", at positions 28 to 450 of the family's 1533-position model. The record is from RNAcentral.